RNAcentral lists this ribosomal RNA (423 nucleotides) under uncultured Flammeovirgaceae bacterium. RNAcentral's name for it is "bacterial SSU rRNA". It matches the Rfam family "Bacterial small subunit ribosomal RNA", at positions 355 to 776 of the family's 1533-position model. Lineage: Bacteria; Pseudomonadati; Bacteroidota; Cytophagia; Cytophagales; Flammeovirgaceae. The record is from RNAcentral.
UAGGGAAUAUUGGUCAAUGGAUGCAAGUCUGAACCAGCCAUGCCGCGUGCAGGAAGAAGGCCUUCUGGGUUGUAAACUGCUUUUGCCAGGGGAUAAAAAGACCUUGCGAGGUUAAUUGAAGGUACCUGGUGAAUAAGCCACGGCUAACUACGUGCCAGCAGCCGCGGUAAUACGUAGGUGGCAAGCGUUGUCCGGAUUUAUUGGGUUUAAAGGGUGCGUAGGCGGCCCUGUAAGUCAGUGGUGAAAUAUCGCAGCUUAACUGUGAGGGUGCCAUUGAUACUGCAGGGCUUGAGUAAAGUCGAGGUAGGCGGAAUUGACGGUGUAGCGGUGAAAUGCUUAGAUAUCGUCAAGAACACCGAUAGUGAAGACAGCUUACUAGGCUUUAACUGACGCUGAGGCACGAAAGUGUGGGGAUCAAACAGG